RNAcentral lists this unclassified non-coding RNA (352 nucleotides) under Coprinopsis strossmayeri. RNAcentral's name for it is "sequence contains ITS1". The stretch from base 1 to 105 matches the Rfam family "5.8S ribosomal RNA", at positions 50 to 154 of the family's 154-position model. Lineage: Eukaryota; Fungi; Basidiomycota; Agaricomycetes; Agaricales; Psathyrellaceae. The record is from RNAcentral.
GAAAUGCGAUAAGUAAUGUGAAUUGCAGAAUUCAGUGAAUCAUCGAAUCUUUGAACGCACCUUGCGCUCCUUGGUAUUCCGAGGAGCAUGCCUGUUUGAGUGUCAUUAAAUUCUCAACCUCACCAACUUUUGUUGUGUGAAGGCUUGGAUUUGGAGGCGUGCAGGUCCACACUUUUAGUGGUCUGCUCCUCUGAAAUGUAUUAGUGGGUUAGGCCCUCUAAUCUAUUGGUGUGAUAAUUAUCUACGCCGUGGAUUUGGGAAGCUACAUCAGACCUGCUUCUAACCGUCCUCACGGGGGACAACACUUGACAAUUUUGACCUCAAAUCAGGUAAGACUACCCGCUGAACUUAA